RNAcentral lists this transfer RNA (68 nucleotides) under Eurycotis decipiens. RNAcentral describes it as "tRNA-Arg". The record is from RNAcentral. Lineage: Eukaryota; Metazoa; Arthropoda; Insecta; Blattodea; Blattidae.
AAAUAAGAAGCAAUUAAUUGCAAUCAGUUUCGACCUGAUAGUGAGAUAAUUCAUAUUAUCCUUAUUUU